UACGUAGGGUGCGAGCGUUGUCCGGAAUUAUUGGGCGUAAAGGGCUCGUAGGCGGUCUGUCACGUCUGCUGUGAAAACUCGGGGCUUAACCCCGGGCCUGCAGUGGGUACGGGCAGACUAGAGUGCGGUAGGGGAGACUGGAAUUCCUGGUGUAGCGGUGAAAUGCGCAGAUAUCAGGAGGAACACCGGUGGCGAAGGCGGGUCUCUGGACAGCAACUGACGCUGAGGCACGAAGGCCAGGGGAGCAAACGGG
Molecule: ribosomal RNA, 253 nt
Filed under: uncultured bacterium
Lineage: Bacteria
Description: partial 16S ribosomal RNA
Rfam family: Bacterial small subunit ribosomal RNA
Source: RNAcentral